CAGAAGGGCUUCUGUCAUUAGGUGGCACACGUAGGGCAUCUCUAUCGCUCUAUGUGAAGAAUCAACAUCAAGAGAUUUCGUAAGCAUAAUUUUUGUUACCUGGGCUGCUAAUGAUCAUUGGUCCUGGGGCCCUA
This is a small nuclear RNA of Echinops telfairi (small Madagascar hedgehog), 134 nucleotides long. The record is from Ensembl. Lineage: Eukaryota; Metazoa; Chordata; Mammalia; Afrosoricida; Tenrecidae.